GAUGAACGCUGGCGGCGUGCCUAAUACAUGCAAGUCGAGCGAACGGACGAGAAGCUUGCUUCUCUGAUGUUAGCGGCGGACGGGUGAGUAACACGUGGAUAACCUACCUAUAAGACUGGGAUAACUUCGGGAAACCGGAGCUAAUACCGGAUAAUAUUUUGAACCGCAUGGUUCAAAAGUGAAAGACGGUCUUGCUGUCACUUAUAGAUGGAUCCGCGCUGCAUUAGCUAGUUGGUAAGGUAACGGCUUACCAAGGCAACGAUGCAUAGCCGACCUGAGAGGGUGAUCGGCCACACUGGAACUGAGACACGGUCCAGACUCCUACGGGAGGCAGCAGUAGGGAAUCUUCCGCAAUGGGCGAAAGCCUGACGGAGCAACGCAGCGUGAGUGAUGAAGGUCUUCGGAUCGUAAAACUCUGUUAUUAGGGAAGAACAUAUGUGUAAGUAACUGUGCACAUCUUGACGGUACCUAAUCAGAAAGCCACGGCUAACUACGUG
This 497-nucleotide ribosomal RNA is filed under the name uncultured bacterium. Its description in RNAcentral is "partial 16S ribosomal RNA". It matches the Rfam family "Bacterial small subunit ribosomal RNA", at positions 28 to 507 of the family's 1533-position model. The record is from RNAcentral.